GCAUGGGGGGCGUGCUUACACAUGCAAGUCGAACGAUGAUGCCCAGCUUGCUGGGCGGAUUAGUGGCGAACGGGUGAGUAAUACGUGAGUAACCUGCCCUUGACUCUGGGAUAAGCCUGGGAAACUGGGUCUAAUACUGGAUACUACUGCGCAUCGCAUGGUGUGUGGUGGAAAGGGUUUUACUGGUUUUGGAUGGGCUCACGGCCUAUCAGCUUGUUGGUGGGGUAAUGGCUCACCAAGGCGACGACGGGUAGCCGGCCUGAGAGGGUGACCGGCCACACUGGGACUGAGACACGGCCCAGACUCCUACGGGAGGCAGCAGUGGGGAAUAUUGCACAAUGGGCGCAAGCCUGAUGCAGCGACGCCGCGUGAGGGAUGACGGCCUUCGGGUUGUAAACCUCUUUCAGUAGGGAAGAAGCGAGAGUGACGGUACCUGCAGAAGAAGCGCCGGCUAACUACGUGCCAGCAGCCGCGGUAAUACGUAGGGCGCAAGCGUUGUCCGGAAUUAUUGGGCGUAAAGAGCUCGUAGGCGGUUUGUCGCGUCUGCUGUGAAAGCCCGGGGCUCAACCCCGGGUCUGCAGUGGGUACGGGCAGACUAGAGUGCAG
Molecule: ribosomal RNA, 606 nt
Filed under: bacterium
Lineage: Bacteria
Description: bacterial SSU rRNA
Rfam family: Bacterial small subunit ribosomal RNA
Source: RNAcentral